RNAcentral lists this unclassified non-coding RNA (352 nucleotides) under soil metagenome. Its description in RNAcentral is "partial contains 5.8S ribosomal RNA, internal transcribed spacer 2, and large subunit ribosomal RNA". The stretch from base 1 to 120 matches the Rfam family "5.8S ribosomal RNA", at positions 35 to 154 of the family's 154-position model. The record is from RNAcentral.
GAUGAAGAACGCAGCGAAAUGCGAUAAGUAAUGUGAAUUGCAGAAUUCCGUGAAUCAUCGAAUCUUUGAACGCACAUUGCGCCCGCCAGUAUUCUGGCGGGCAUGCCUGUUCGAGCGUCAUUACAACCCUCAGGCCCCCGGGCCUGGCGUUGGGGAUCGGCGGAAGCCCCCUGUGGGCACACGCCGUCCCUCAAAUACAGUGGCGGUCCCGCCGCAGCUUCCAUUGCGUAGUAGCUAACACCUCGCAACUGGAGAGCGGCGCGGCCAUGCCGUAAAACACCCAACUUCUGAAUGUUGACCUCGAAUCAGGUAGGAAUACCCGCUGAACUUAAGCAUAUCAAUAAGCGGAGGA